Long non-coding RNA from Maniola jurtina (meadow brown), 93 nucleotides. RefSeq lists it as uncharacterized. Lineage: Eukaryota; Metazoa; Arthropoda; Insecta; Lepidoptera; Nymphalidae. The record is from RefSeq and is a predicted model, not a curated record. The transcript is spliced from 3 exons.
UUUUAAAUUUUUGCGCAGUUUUUUUAUGGCAUCUUAUUCGUAAUCAUCAGAAGUAUCACCUGUUCUCGUUUUUGCUAGUGUUCUGGUUACAUC